GAGGGUAUAGCUCAAGUGGUAGAGCACAUGCUUAGCAUGCACAAGGUCCUGGGUUCAAACCCCAGUACCACCU
Molecule: transfer RNA, 73 nt
Filed under: Camelus bactrianus (Bactrian camel)
Lineage: Eukaryota; Metazoa; Chordata; Mammalia; Artiodactyla; Camelidae
Also listed under: 2 other names
Rfam family: tRNA
About the family: Transfer RNA (tRNA) molecules are approximately 80 nucleotides in length.
Source: Rfam by way of RNAcentral